CUUCCCAUUUAUUUGCUGCUUAGUCUCACAACAAUAUGAGUAGAUAUAUGCAUGGGAUAAAAUAAUACUGGGCCAUUACAAAUUGAGAUGAAAUAACCAUUUUCAUCUCUUUUGCUUGGACCAGACGUUC
Molecule: small nucleolar RNA, 130 nt
Organism: Microcebus murinus (gray mouse lemur)
Lineage: Eukaryota; Metazoa; Chordata; Mammalia; Primates; Cheirogaleidae
Source: Ensembl